ACAACACCUAGGAGGAUCCUGAGUACGGCGGAACACGAGAAAUUCCGUCGGAAUCCGCGGGGACCAUCCCGCAAGGCUAAAUACUCCCUAGUGACCGAUAGUGAACCAGUACCGUGAGGGAAAGGUGAAAAGCACCCCGGAAGGGGAGUGAAAUAGAUCCUGAAACCGUGUGCCUACAACAAGUCAAAGCUCGUUAAUGAGUGAUGGCGUGCCUUUUGUAGAAUGAACCGGCGAGUUACGAUUGCAUGCGAGGUUAAGUCGAAGAGACGGAGCCGCAGCGAAAGCGAGUCUGAAUAGGGCGAAUGAGUAUGUAGUCGUAGACCCGAAACCAUGUGAUCUACCCAUGUCCAGGUUGAAGGUGCGGUAAAACGCACUGGAGGACCGAACCCACGUACGUUGAAAAGUGCGGGGAUGAGGUGUGGGUAGCGGAGAAAUUCCAAACGAACUUGGAGAUAGCUGGUUCUCUCCGAAAUAGCUUUAGGGCUAGCCUCGGAAUUGAGAAUGAUGGAGGUAGAGCACUGUUUGGACUAGGGGCCCAUCUCGGGUUACCGAAUUCAGAUAAACUCCGAAUGCCAUUCAUUUAUAUCCGGGAGUCAGACUGCGAGUGAUAAGAUCCGUAGUCGAAAGGGAAACAGCCCAGACCACCAGCUAAGGUCCCAAAAUAUAUGUUAAGUGGAAAAGGAUGUGGGGUUGCACAGACAACUAGGAUGUUGGCUUAGAAGCAGCCACCAUUUAAAGAGUGCGUAAUAGCUCACUAGUCGAGUGACCCUGCGCCGAAAAUGUACCGGGGCUAAACAUAUUACCGAAGCUGUGGACUACACCAUUAGGUGUAGUGGUAGGAGAGCGUUCUAAGGGCGUUGAAGGUCGAUCGUGAGGACGGCUGGAGCGCUUAGAAGUGAGAAUGCCGGUAUGAGUAGCGAAAGACAGGUGAGAAUCCUGUCCACCGUAUGACUAAGGUUUCCUGGGGAAGGCUCGUCCGCCCAGGGUUAGUCGGGACCUAAGC
RNAcentral lists this ribosomal RNA (1003 nucleotides) under Enterococcus faecalis. RNAcentral's name for it is "partial 23S ribosomal RNA". It matches the Rfam family "Bacterial large subunit ribosomal RNA", at positions 390 to 1396 of the family's 2925-position model. The record is from RNAcentral. RNAcentral also lists the same sequence under 2 other names. Lineage: Bacteria; Bacillati; Bacillota; Bacilli; Lactobacillales; Enterococcaceae.